AGAGUUUGAUCGUGGCUCAGAUUGAACGCUGGCGGCAUGCCUUACACAUGCAAGUCGAACGGUAACAGGUUAAGCUGACGAGUGGCGAACGGGUGAGUAAUAUAUCGGAACGUGCCCAGUCGUGGGGGAUAACUACUCGAAAGAGUAGCUAAUACCGCAUACGACCUGAGGGUGAAAGCGGGGGAUCGCAAGACCUCGCGCGAUUGGAGCGGCCGAUAUCAGAUUAGGUAGUUGGUGGGGUAAAAGCUCACCAAGCCAACGAUCUGUAGCUGGUCUGAGAGGACGACCAGCCACACUGGGACUGAGACACGGCCCAGACUCCUACGGGAGGCAGCAGUGGGGAAUUUUGGACAAUGGGCGCAAGCCUGAUCCAGCCAUGCCGCGUGCGGGAAGAAGGCCUUCGGGUUGUAAACCGCUUUUGUCAGGGAAGAAAAGGUUCUGGCUAAUACCCGGGACUCAUGACGGACCUGAAGAAUAAGC
Molecule: ribosomal RNA, 480 nt
Filed under: uncultured organism
Description: bacterial SSU rRNA
Rfam family: Bacterial small subunit ribosomal RNA
Source: RNAcentral